CAGUCGCCGCGGGAAUACAGAGGGUGCGAGCGUUAAUCGGAUUUACUGGGCGUAAAGCGUGCGUAGGCGGCUUCUUAAGUCGGAUGUGAAAUCCCUGAGCUUAACUUAGGAAUUGCAUUUGAUACUGGGAAGCUAGAGUAUGGGAGAGGAUGGUAGAAUUCCAGGUGUAGCGGUGAAAUGCGUAGAGAUCUGGAGGAAUACCGAUGGCGAAGGCAGCCAUCUGGCCUAAUACUGACGCUGAGGUACGAAAGCAUGGGGAGCAAACAGGAUUAGAUACCCGCGUAGUCCCUGUCUCUUAUAC
This 301-nucleotide ribosomal RNA is filed under the name uncultured bacterium. Its description in RNAcentral is "partial 16S ribosomal RNA". It matches the Rfam family "Bacterial small subunit ribosomal RNA", at positions 509 to 807 of the family's 1533-position model. The record is from RNAcentral.